UGCAUGUCCCUAAAAGAAGCUCAUGAAGAAUUGUAUUAAUGUCAUGUGAAGAGUUCAGUGACGUAUGGAUUGAUAGAUGGUAUGUAACUGUGGGUGAUAUACAUUUAAUACUCUGAGGACAAAGUGAAGGAGUCACUGUUAACAUGGCUCUCCACCAGUUUCUGUGUGGCUUCACUGUGGUGAUCAUUCUCUUAUCCAAAGGUUGUCAGUCACAGGACUGCGGCAAAGCUCCCAAAAACACUGGAAUUGUGGGAGGUGGAGAUGCCUCCCAGGAAGUUGGCCCUGGCAGGCCGAAUUGAGAGAAGAUGGUAAAUACAUCUGUGUGGGGUCACUGAUUAACGACCAGUGGGUGCUGACAGUUGCAGACUACAUAACAGGGGCUCGGAACUUAACAGUUCAUCUGGGCCGCCAACAACCCGGACAGCUCCAAACAACAAUGAAGUGUCACGGGGAGUUGCUGAGACGGUUCUCCACCCUUUACGCAGCUUUUCAAAGAACAUCGCUCUGCUGAAGCUGUCGGCCUCUGUGAAUUUUACUGACUACAUAAGACCAGUAUGCUUGGCCUCAGAAAACAGCACUUUCCACACUGGGACUAACAACUGGGUCACUGGUUGGCCCUACGGUACUUCCACAAACAUCCUACGGCAGGUCAACACAUCAAUAGUGGGAAACAAUCAGUGCAGAUGCCUACUACAAGACUAUAAUCACAGAGAGCAUCAUCUGUGCCGUAGCCAAACCUAAUGGA
Molecule: long non-coding RNA, 745 nt
Organism: Lates calcarifer (barramundi perch)
Lineage: Eukaryota; Metazoa; Chordata; Actinopteri; Centropomidae
Exons: 5
Source: RefSeq, a predicted model, not a curated record